This 66-nucleotide transfer RNA is filed under the name Spirometra erinaceieuropaei. RNAcentral's name for it is "tRNA-Asp". The record is from RNAcentral. Lineage: Eukaryota; Metazoa; Platyhelminthes; Cestoda; Diphyllobothriidea; Diphyllobothriidae.
GUAACUUUAGUUUAUUGGGAGAAUAUUGGUUUGUCUAACCAGGGGAAGCGUUGAGGCUAAGUUGCU